Molecule: ribosomal RNA, 460 nt
Filed under: uncultured bacterium
Lineage: Bacteria
Description: partial 16S ribosomal RNA
Rfam family: Bacterial small subunit ribosomal RNA
Source: RNAcentral
CCUACGGGGGACAGCAGUGAGGAAUAUUGGUCAAUGGGCGCGAGCCUGAACCAGCCAAGUCGCGUGAGGGAUGACGGUCCUACGGAUUGUAAACCUCUUUUGCCGGGGAGCAAGCGUGCGUUCGUGAACGCACGUCGAGAGUACCCGGAGAAAAAGCAUCGGCUAACUCCGUGCCAGCAGCCGCGGUGAUACGGGGGAUGCGAGCGUUAUCCGGAUUUAUUGGGUUUAAGGGGUGCGUAGGCGGGAUGCCAAGUCAGCGGUAAAAAUGCGGUGCUCAACGCCGUCGAGCCGUUGAAACUGGGUUUCUUGAGUGGGCGAGAGGUAUGCGGAAUGCGUUGUGUAGCGGUGAAAUGCAUAGAUAUCACGCAGAACGCCGAUUGCGAAGGCAGCAUACCGGCGCCCUACUGACGCUGAGGCACGAAAGCGUGGGUAGCGAACAGGAUUAGAUACCCGAGUAGUC